RNAcentral lists this ribosomal RNA (442 nucleotides) under uncultured bacterium. RNAcentral's name for it is "bacterial SSU rRNA". It matches the Rfam family "Bacterial small subunit ribosomal RNA", at positions 29 to 490 of the family's 1533-position model. The record is from RNAcentral.
AUUGAACGCUGGCGGCAUGCCUUACACAUGCAAGUCGAACGGCAGCACGGGGGCAACCCUGGUGGCGAGUGGCGAACGGGUGAGUAAUACAUCGGAACGUGCCCCGUAGCGGGGGACAACCAGUCGAAAGACUGGCUAAUACCGCAUACGCUCCACGGAGGAAAGCAGGGGAUCGCAAGACCUUGCACUAUGGGAGCGGCCGAUGCCCGAUUAGCUAGUUGGUGAGGUAAAGGCUCACCAAGGCAACGAUCGGUAGCUGGUCUGAGAGGACGACCAGCCACACUGGGACUGAGACACGGCCCAGACUCCUACGGGAGGCAGCAGUGGGGAAUAUUGGACAAUGGGCGCAAGCCUGAUCCAGCCAUGCCGCGUGAGUGAUGAAGGCCUUAGGGUUGUAAAGCUCCUUCGGCGGGGACGAUAAUGACGGUACCCGCAGAAGAAG